GGACUACUCGGGUAUCUAAUCCCGUUCGCUCCCCUGGCUUUCGCGCCUCAGCGUCAGUAAUGGCCCAAGAAGCCGCCUUCGCCACUGGUGUUCCGACUGAUAUCUACGCAUUUCACCGCUACACCAGCCAUUCCACUUCUCUCUACCACCCUCAAGAAAACCAGUAUGAGGAGCACUGCAUGGGGUUGAGCCCCAGCCUUUCACUUCUCACUUAAUUUCCCGCCUACGCGCGCUUUACGCCCAGUAACUUCGGACAACGCUCGCUCCCUCCGUAUUACCGCGGCUGCUGGCAC
Molecule: ribosomal RNA, 293 nt
Filed under: uncultured bacterium
Lineage: Bacteria
Description: partial 16S ribosomal RNA
Source: RNAcentral